GAUGAACGCUGGCGGUGUGCUUAACACAUGCAAGUCGAACGAUGAAGCCCAGCUUGCUGGGUGGAUUAGUGGCGAACGGGUGAGUAACACGUUAGUAACCUGCCCUUGACUCUGGGAUAAGCCUGGGAAACUGGGUCUAAUACUGGAUAUGACUUCUCAUCGCAUGGUGGGGGGUGGAAAGAUUUAUUGGUCUUGGAUGGACUCGCGGCCUAUCAGCUUGUUGGUGAGGUAAUGGCUCACCAAGGCGACGACGGGUAGCCGGCCUGAGAGGGGCACCGGCCACACUGCGCCUGAGACACGGCACAGCCUACUCCGGGAGGCAGCAGUGCGGAAUAGUGCACAAUGGGAGCAAGCCUGAUGCAGCGACGCCGCGUGAGGGAUGACGGCAUUCGGGUUGUAAACCUCUUUCCGUAGGGAAGAAGCGAGAGUGACGGUACCUGGAGAAGAAGCGCCGGCUAACUACGUG
RNAcentral lists this ribosomal RNA (466 nucleotides) under uncultured bacterium. RNAcentral's name for it is "partial 16S ribosomal RNA". It matches the Rfam family "Bacterial small subunit ribosomal RNA", at positions 28 to 507 of the family's 1533-position model. The record is from RNAcentral.